AUUUAGAAAACAUAUGCAGGGCUGAGUACUAAAAAGGUACUCAAUGGUCACAUGCCGAAAUAACUUUAAAGCUUGCUCUUAGAGCUAUAUAUUGACCUUGCCAUCUCAAUCAUCACACAGGAGUUUUAUUUGAAUAACCUGUGCACGCCAAAACUGUAAAACUUUUCUAUAAUAAUCAUAAACUUCAUAUGCGUCUGCAGACAUACUUCUUUGUACUCUACCAUAUCUGCAAUGAUAUCUGUGUGCCGAGAAGGUGGCCACCUUUUACGGUCACUGACCGGCCGAUACGCUAAACCGGCUCACGGUCCUAGACCGGCCGAUACGCCAAACCAGCUCACGGACCUAGAUCGGCCGAUACGCUAAACCGGCUCACGGUCCUAGGCCGGCCGAUAUGCUAGAUCGGCUCACGGUCCCUUGUGUACACUAAUCCUGUCUAACAUCUGGAUAGAACAGGAUCCGAAUUCGAUUAACUUCUGGUGCCAGAUAGGUAUUAUACAAGCUCAUAAAAGUUUUGGCAAGUCAACAACUUUAAUAUAACUUCAUUCAUGUAAACAUCAUGAAAUAGUGUGCACAUCAGAUUUUGAGUUUAGAAAGCCCACCUGAUCGUGGUCUGACGACACAAGUGAUUCUGAACUAAUGCUUCACCUUUUUCCCUUGUAUUUUGACCUUCAUUAUGAAUAACUGACUAAUGAAUAAUGAGAACAUGAUAUGGACUUGACUUGAAAAGAAUACUUAUGUUGGUUUUAAGGUGAUAGUUCUAUUGGAACUUAUGAAAUGAUGACUGGUUGCUACCUGGUGAACUUAUCAAUAAAUACCAACAUAUUAUCUAAACCAAAACUUAAACUACGAUAAUCGUAAUUCUGGCGUUAAUCAUAACUCCACUCGCUCUAAUUAAAAUAAUUCUACAUGUCUAGGCCAUUUAAUAAAUCAAGCUAAUUAUUAGCUAAUAAUCCUUCAUUUAAGCUUAUUAAGCUUAAAUUAAAAUACUAUUGAGUUCAAUCAAAUAAUUAAUGGCCCAACAUAAUUUAUUAUUACUAAUCCCAUUGAGAUUAAUAGGCCCAAGUACCAGCUUAAACCCAAUUACUAGUUUGAGCCCAAUUAACCAUUUUCAGAUUUAAAUAAAUUAAAAUUAAUAACCUUCUUUAAAACAUAAAACAAGUUAAUCUCUCUGUUUUCUAUUUCUUCCCCACGCAGACAUCUCUCCCUCUCUUCGCUCCCUCUCUCGGCCGCCUCUCUCUCCUCCCUUCUCCGGCGAGCGUCGCCGGCUCGCGCCGCUUCCGGCGCGGCGAGGCUGACGCAUCUUCUCCCCUUCCGCUUUCUUCCCUCUCCUUCCUACAUUUAAUUCCCAAAUUCUAAAAUCAAUUCAGCCUAGGGUUUUCAAUCUCCCCCAUCAAUUUUACUCCUCUGGAGAAUCCCGGCGAAUAACGUCGUCGCCGCCCCAGCUCGUCGGAUUUCUGCUCCUCCGUCGUUCUCCCUACCUCAGGAAUCGAUGAUUCAAGGGAUCUCCAGUUCGUCUACUGCUCAAGAUCCAAUAUUUAUAUGUUAUAAACCUAUUUUCCUUUAUUGCUUAUUGUAAAACUGAGAUUUUGAUGGUGAGGAAACAAUACUGUAUCAUUACUAUGCUUAUGUGUAGCUAUGUCUUUUCUGCUGCUCUUGAUUGUUCCUUUUAUACACAAGGAAUUGAUUGAAUUGCAUACAAGAAAA
Salvia miltiorrhiza (redroot sage) is the source of this 1704-nucleotide long non-coding RNA. RefSeq lists it as uncharacterized. Lineage: Eukaryota; Viridiplantae; Streptophyta; Magnoliopsida; Lamiales; Lamiaceae. The transcript is spliced from 2 exons. The record is from RefSeq and is a predicted model, not a curated record.